UUUGAUAGAUCUGUGAAGUCGUCUCUCAAGUCGUUAGACUUGGUUUGCUGGGAUGUAAACGUCUCGGUGUGACUACGCAGUCUAUUUACUUAUAACACCCCAAAUGUAUGUCUACGAAUGUCAUUUAAAGGGCCUUGUGCCUAUAAACCAUAAUACAACUUUCAACAACGGAUCUCUUGGCUCUCGCAUCGAUGAAGAACGCAGCGAAAUGCGAUAAGUAAUGUGAAUUGCAGAAUUCAGUGAAUCAUCGAAUCUUUGAACGCACCUUGCGCCCCUUGGUAUUCCGAGGGGCAUGCCUGUUUGAGUGUCAUUAAAUUCUCAAACUCACUCUGGUUUUUCCAAUUGUGAUGUUUGGAUUGUUGGGGGCUGCUGGCCUUGACAGGUCGGCUCCUCUUAAAUGCAUUAGCAGGACUUCUCAUUGCCUCUGCGCAUGAUGUGAUAACUAUCACUCAUCAAUAGCACGCAUGAAUAGA
Molecule: ribosomal RNA, 473 nt
Filed under: Pleurotus eryngii
Lineage: Eukaryota; Fungi; Basidiomycota; Agaricomycetes; Agaricales; Pleurotaceae
Description: eukaryotic LSU rRNA
Rfam family: 5.8S ribosomal RNA (bases 157-310)
Source: RNAcentral